This 253-nucleotide ribosomal RNA is filed under the name uncultured bacterium. RNAcentral's name for it is "partial 16S ribosomal RNA". It matches the Rfam family "Bacterial small subunit ribosomal RNA", at positions 524 to 776 of the family's 1533-position model. The record is from RNAcentral.
UACGGAGGGUGCAAGCGUUAUCCGGAUUCACUGGGUUUAAAGGGUGCGUAGGCGGGCAGGUAAGUCAGUGGUGAAAUCUCACAGCUUAACUGUGAAACUGCCUUUGAUACUUCCAAUCUUGAGUUAAAGAGAGGUUGAUGGAAUUUCAGGUGUAGCGGUGAAAUGCGUAGAUAUCUGAAAGAACACCAGUGGCGAAGGCGGUCAACUGGCUUUUAACUGGCGCUCAGGCACGAAAGCGUGGGUAGCGAACAGG